Molecule: ribosomal RNA, 459 nt
Filed under: bacterium fme09x27p278
Lineage: Bacteria
Description: bacterial SSU rRNA
Rfam family: Bacterial small subunit ribosomal RNA
Source: RNAcentral
GCUACACAUGCAGUCGAGCGGUAACAGAAGUAGCUUGCUACUUUGCUGACGAGCGGCGGACGGGUGAGUAAUGCUUGGGAACAUGCCUUGAGGUGGGGGACAACAGUUGGAAACGACUGCUAAUACCGCAUAAUGUCUACGGACCAAAGGGGGCUUCGGCUCUCGCCUUUAGAUUGGCCCAAGUGGGAUUAGCUAGUUGGUGAGGUAAUGGCUCACCAAGGCGACGAUCCCUAGCUGGUUUGAGAGGAUGAUCAGCCACACUGGGACUGAGACACGGCCCAGACUCCUACGGGAGGCAGCAGUGGGGAAUAUUGCACAAUGGGCGCAAGCCUGAUGCAGCCAUGCCGCGUGUGUGAAGAAGGCCUUCGGGNUGUAAAGCACUUUCAGUCAGGAGGAAAGGUUAGNAGUUAAUACCUGCUAGCUGUGACGUUACUGACAGAAGAGCACCGGCUAACUCCG